GCGGAUGUGGCGGAAUUGGCAGACGCGCUAGACUUAGGAUCUAGUGUCAACGACAUGGGAGUUCGAGUCUCUUCAUCCGCACCA
RNAcentral lists this transfer RNA (84 nucleotides) under Clostridiales bacterium. RNAcentral's name for it is "tRNA-Leu". It matches the Rfam family "tRNA". Rfam says of the family: Transfer RNA (tRNA) molecules are approximately 80 nucleotides in length. RNAcentral also lists the same sequence under 1 other name. The record is from RNAcentral. Lineage: Bacteria; Bacillati; Bacillota; Clostridia; Eubacteriales.